UGCGUAGGCGGCUUGGAAGGUGAGAUGUGAAAUCCCACGGCUCAACCGUGGAAUUGCGUUUCAAACCCUCAAGCUCGAGGAAGAUAGGGGUGAUGGGAACUUAUGGUGGAGCGGUGAAAUGCGUUGAUAUCAUAGGGAACACCGGUGGCGAAAGCGCAUCACUGGAUCUUUUCUGACGCUGAGGCACGAAAGCUAGGGUAGCGAACAGGAUUAGAUACCCUGGUAGUCC
RNAcentral lists this ribosomal RNA (229 nucleotides) under uncultured bacterium. Its description in RNAcentral is "partial 16S ribosomal RNA". It matches the Rfam family "Bacterial small subunit ribosomal RNA", at positions 568 to 796 of the family's 1533-position model. The record is from RNAcentral.